UCCUUGGUGGCUUAGUGGGAAAGAAUCUGCCUGCAGUGCAGGAGACCUGGGUUCGAACCCUGGGUCGGGAA
RNAcentral lists this transfer RNA (71 nucleotides) under Bos taurus (domestic cattle). It matches the Rfam family "tRNA". From Rfam's summary of the family: Transfer RNA (tRNA) molecules are approximately 80 nucleotides in length. Their secondary structure includes four short double-helical elements and three loops (D, anti-codon, and T loops). The record is from Rfam by way of RNAcentral. RNAcentral also lists the same sequence under 4 other names. Lineage: Eukaryota; Metazoa; Chordata; Mammalia; Artiodactyla; Bovidae.